AUUGAACGCUGGCGGCAGGCCUAACACAUGCAAGUCGAGCGGUAACAGGGGUAGCUUGCUACCCGCUGACGAGCGGCGGACGGGUGAGUAACGCGUGAGAAUCUGCCCAUCAGUGGGGGAUAACCCGGGGAAACUCGGGCUAAUACCGCAUACGUCCUACGGGACAAAGCAGGGGACCUUUUGGCCUUGCGCUGAUGGAUGAGCUCGCGUCGGAUUAGCUUGUUGGUGAGGUAAAGGCUCACCAAGGCGACGAUCCGUAGCUGGUCUGAGAGGAUGAUCAGCCACACCGGGACUGAGACACGGCCCGGACUCCUACGGGAGGCAGCAGUGGGGAAUCUUGGACAAUGGGGGCAACCCUGAUCCAGCCAUGCCGCGUGUGUGAAGAAGGCCUUCGGGUUGUAAAGCACUUUCAGUAGGGAGGAAGGCUUUCGGUUAAUACCCGGGAGUACUUGACGUUACCUACAGAAGAAGCACCGGCUAAUUUCGUGCCAGCCGCCGCCGUAACAC
RNAcentral lists this ribosomal RNA (507 nucleotides) under uncultured bacterium. Its description in RNAcentral is "bacterial SSU rRNA". It matches the Rfam family "Bacterial small subunit ribosomal RNA", at positions 30 to 526 of the family's 1533-position model. The record is from RNAcentral.